This 879-nucleotide ribosomal RNA is filed under the name uncultured bacterium. Its description in RNAcentral is "bacterial SSU rRNA". It matches the Rfam family "Bacterial small subunit ribosomal RNA", at positions 8 to 916 of the family's 1533-position model. The record is from RNAcentral.
AGAGUUUGAUCCUGGCUCAGGAUGAACGCUGGCGGCGUGCCUAACACAUGCAAGUCGAGCGAUUCUCUUCGGAGAAGAGCGGCGGACGGGUGAGUAACGCGUGGGUAACCUGCCCUGUACACACGGAUAACAUACCGAAAGGUAUGCUAAUACGAGAUAAUAUGCUUUUAUCGCAUGGUAGAAGUAUCAAAGCUCCGGCGGUACAGGAUGGACCCGCGUCUGAUUAGCUAGUUGGUAAGGUAACGGCUUACCAAGGCGACGAUCAGUAGCCGACCUGAGAGGGUGAUCGGCCACAUUGGAACUGAGACACGGUCCAAACUCCUACGGGAGGCAGCAGUGGGGAAUAUUGCACAAUGGGCGAAAGCCUGAUGCAGCAACGCCGCGUGAGCGAUGAAGGCCUUCGGGUCGUAAAGCUCUGUCCUCAAGGAAGAUAAUGACGGUACUUGAGGAGGAAGCCCCGGCUAACUACGUGCCAGCAGCCGCGGUAAUACGUAGGGGGCUAGCGUUAUCCGGAAUUACUGGGCGUAAAGGGUGCGUAGGUGGUUUCUUAAGUCAGAGGUGAAAGGCUACGGCUCAACCGUAGUAAGCCUUUGAAACUGGGAAACUUGAGUGCAGGAGAGGAGAGUGGAAUUCCUAGUGUAGCGGUGAAAUGCGUAGAUAUUAGGAGGAACACCAGUUGCGAAGGCGGCUCUCUGGACUGUAACUGACACUGAGGCACGAAAGCGUGGGGAGCAAACAGGAUUAGAUACCCUGGUAGUCCACGCCGUAAACGAUGAGUACUAGCUGUCGGAGGUUACCUCCUUCGGUGGCGCAGCUAACGCAUUAAGUACUCCGCCUGGGAAGUACGCUCGCAAGAGUGAAACUCAAAGGAAUUGACGG